GAUGAACGCUGGCGGCGUGCUUAACACAUGCAAGUCGAACGGGAAAUAUUUCAUUGAGACUUCGGUGGAUUUGAUUUAUUUCUAGUGGCGGACGGGUGAGUAACGCGUGGGUAACCUGCCUUAUACAGGGGGAUAACAGUCAGAAAUGGCUGCUAAUACCGCAUAAGCGCACAGAGCUGCAUGGCUCAGUGUGAAAAACUCCGGUGGUAUAAGAUGGACCCGCGUUGGAUUAGCUAGUUGGUGGGGUAACGGCCCACCAAGGCGACGAUCCAUAGCCGGCCUGAGAGGGUGAACGGCCACAUUGGGACUGAGACACGGCCCAGACUCCUACGGGAGGCAGCAGUGGGGAAUAUUGCACAAUGGGGGAAACCCUGAUGCAGCGAUGCCGCGUGAAGGAAGAAGUAUCUCGGUAUGUAAACUUCUAUCAGCAGGGAAGAUAGUGACGGUACCUGACGAAGAAGCCCCGGCUAACUACGUG
This 478-nucleotide ribosomal RNA is filed under the name uncultured bacterium. RNAcentral's name for it is "partial 16S ribosomal RNA". It matches the Rfam family "Bacterial small subunit ribosomal RNA", at positions 28 to 507 of the family's 1533-position model. The record is from RNAcentral.